CCUGAUGCAGCGACGCCGCGUGAGGGAUGACGGCCUUCGGGUUGGUAAACCUCUUUCAGUAGGGAAGAAGCGAAAGUGACGGUACCUGCAGAAGAAGCGCCGGCUAACUACGUGCCAGCAGCCGCGGUAAUACGUAGGGCGCAAGCGUUAUCCGGAAUAUUGGGCGUAAGAGCUCGUAGGCGGUUUGUCGCGUCUGCCGUGAAAGUCCGGGGCUCAACUCCGGAUCUGCGGUGGGUACGGGCAGACUAGAGUGAUGUAGGGGAGACUGGAAUUCCUGGUGUAGCGGUGAAAUGCGCAGAUAUCAGGAGGAACACCGAUGGCGAAGGCAGGUCUCUGGGCAUUAACUGACGCUGAGGAGCGAAAGCAUGGGGAGCGAACAGGAUUAGAUACCCUGGUAGUCCAUGCCGUAAACGUUGGGCACUAGGUGUGGGGGACAUUCCACGUUUUCCGCGCCGUAGCUAACGCAUUAAGUGCCCCGCCUGGGGAGUACGGCCGCAAGGCUA
Molecule: ribosomal RNA, 503 nt
Filed under: uncultured Actinomycetes bacterium
Lineage: Bacteria; Bacillati; Actinomycetota; Actinomycetes
Description: bacterial SSU rRNA
Rfam family: Bacterial small subunit ribosomal RNA
Source: RNAcentral